This 505-nucleotide ribosomal RNA is filed under the name uncultured bacterium. Its description in RNAcentral is "partial 16S ribosomal RNA". It matches the Rfam family "Bacterial small subunit ribosomal RNA", at positions 28 to 507 of the family's 1533-position model. The record is from RNAcentral.
GACGAACGCUGGCGGCGUGCCUAAUACAUGCAAGUAGAACGCACAGUUUAUACCGUAGCUUGCUACACCAUAGACUGUGAGUUGCGAACGGGUGAGUAACGCGUAGGUAACCUGCCUGGUAGCGGGGGAUAACUAUUGGAAACGAUAGCUAAUACCGCAUAAUAUUAAUUAUUGCAUGAUAAUUAAUUGAAAGGUGCAAUUGCACCACUACCAGAUGGACCUGCGUUGUAUUAGCUAGUAGGUGAGGUAACGGCUCACCUAGGCGACGAUACAUAGCCGAGCUGAGAGGGUGAUCGGCCACACUGGGACUGGGACACGGCCCAGACUCCUACGGGAGGCAGCAGUAGGGAAUCUUCGGCAAUGGACGAAAGUCUGACCGAGCAACGCCGCGUGAGUGAAGAAGGUUUUCGGAUCGUAAAGCUCUGUUGUAAGAGAAGAACGGGUGUGAGAGUGGAAAGUUCACACUGUGACGGUAUCUUACCAGAAAGGGACGGCUAACUACGUG